Molecule: non-coding RNA, 73 nt
Organism: Stegodyphus dumicola
Lineage: Eukaryota; Metazoa; Arthropoda; Arachnida; Araneae; Eresidae
Source: the annotation of a RefSeq genome assembly
GCCUUUGUGGUGUAAUUGGAAGCACACUCGACGCCUAUUCGAGAGAUCCAGGGUUCGAAUCCCGGGGAGGGCU